This 555-nucleotide ribosomal RNA is filed under the name uncultured bacterium. RNAcentral's name for it is "bacterial SSU rRNA". It matches the Rfam family "Archaeal small subunit ribosomal RNA", at positions 728 to 1281 of the family's 1478-position model. The record is from RNAcentral.
AAUAAAUACCCGGUAGUCCUAGCCGUAAACGAUACUCGCUAGGUGUCGGCCACGGUGCGACCGUUGUCGGUGCCGUAGGGAAGCCGUGAAGCGAGCCACCUGGGAAGUACGGCCGCAAGGCUGAAACUUAAAGGAAUUGGCGGGGGGAGCACCACAACGGGUGGAGCUUGCGGUUUAAUUGGAUUCAACGCCGGAAAUCUUACCGGGACCGACAGCAAUAUGAAGGCCAGGCUGAAGACUUUGCCGGAUUAGCUGAGAGGUGGUGCAUGGCCGUCGUCAGUUCGUACUGUGAAGCAUCCUGUUAAGUCAGGCAACGAGCGAGACCCACGCCCACAGUUGCCAGCGUACUCUCUGGAGUGACGGGUACACUGUGGGGACCGCCGCUGCUAAAGCGGAGGAAGGAAUGGGCAACGGUAGGUCAGUAUGCCCCGAAUAUCCCGGGCUACACGCGAGCUACAAUGGUUGGUACAAUGGGUAUCUACCCCGGAAAGGGGACGGGAAUCUCCUAAAACCAAUCUUAGUUCGGAUUGAGGGCUGCAACUCGCCCUCAUGAAG